RNAcentral lists this small RNA (127 nucleotides) under Marmota monax (woodchuck). Lineage: Eukaryota; Metazoa; Chordata; Mammalia; Rodentia; Sciuridae. The record is from RNAcentral.
GCUGAGUAUGGUGGUGCACACCUGUUAUCCCAGCAAUUUAGGAGGCUGAGGCAAGAGGAUUGCAAGUUUGAGGCCAGUCUCAGCAACUUAGGGAGGCCCUAAGCAACUUUGCAAGACCCUGUUUCAA